Molecule: long non-coding RNA, 628 nt
Organism: Panthera uncia (snow leopard)
Lineage: Eukaryota; Metazoa; Chordata; Mammalia; Carnivora; Felidae
Exons: 3
Source: RefSeq, a predicted model, not a curated record
CGGUCAGACCUAGAAGUAGCAAUAUGGAGGCCAUUACCAAGGUAAGGGUUUAGGUCAAGAGAUUGGUCACAAUUGCCAAAGGAUUGUGAAAAAGAGAAGACAAGAUGGCCGAAAACGGUUCCUUGUGAAACACUUACACUGAUGAGACAGGAGGAGGAAGGAUCCAGAGAAGGCCCAUAAAGAGAGGAUUCAAGAAGGUGGGAUCUUCAGAAUAAGAACGAAGAAGGAUCACCGAGAGACAUUGAUAAGAAGCAGUGAACAUCCAGGACAUUCAGAGAGUGGAAGCCAUGUGGUGCUCCGGGAUGAACUGGUUGGCAAGAAGCUUAUAAAUCAGGAAUAGACAGAGACUAAUGAGAGACUGGAAAUAUGAGAAUGAAGUCAAUAGGAACCUACAGAAGGCAAUGCAGAUACCUCUAGUGAGGAGAGAGUUCUUGAUGGAUUUUUCAGAUGACAUAAAGCCAAUUUUUAUCUGGAAAGGUUUAUUUCAAGCAAAUUUGUGUAGAUAAAACCUUGGGGGAGUAAAAAAAAAGCCCCCAAAACAACCCAAACAAAUAGAAAAGCCAAACAAAACUGCUUACAGCAGAAAUCCAGAUAUUUGCUGCAAAACAAUUAGUAAUAGCAUUGGCGA